RNAcentral lists this long non-coding RNA (425 nucleotides) under Salvia miltiorrhiza (redroot sage). RNAcentral describes it as "long non-coding RNA (SMIL_LNC003984)". The record is from RNAcentral. Lineage: Eukaryota; Viridiplantae; Streptophyta; Magnoliopsida; Lamiales; Lamiaceae.
GGCCGUUCUGCUGGGAAAGAUGAAGCAGGCGGUGGCAGCGCACCGCGGUGGUUGCGGUCUGCUGUACCCUGUUCCGGUAGAUCGAGGAAAGAGAGAGAGAGAGACAGGGCGUGUAGUUAGAGAUAGAAGAGAGGGAGAUGGAGAUGGAGAUGGCGGCCGUGUGGCCGGAGAGGAGAACCAGGCGGCGGCGCAUCGUGGAAGGUGGCUGUCUGCCGCCUUGUUCCGACAGUCUUGAGAGCGAGAGAUGAGUGAUAGAGGCGAGAGGGUAAGAGAGGACGAGAGUUCAAGGGAGGAGAGAGAGGCAGCAGCCGCGCCGCUCGCCGGCGGCGGCGGUGGCGGCCAGGUUGCACGGCAGGCGGACAGAUCGUCCGAGAGAGAGAGUGAGAAAGAAGAGAGAGAGACGAGAAUGAAGGGGGAGGGGCGCA